UACGUAGGCAGCGAGCGUUGUUCGGAAUUACUGGGCGUAAAGAGUGUGUAGGCGGUGCUCUAAGUUCGGUGUGAAAUCUCCUGGCUCAACUGGGGGGGUGCGCCGGAAACUGGAGUGCUUGAGCGUGGGAGAGGAAAGCGGAAUUCCUGGUGUAGCGGUGAAAUGCGUAGAUAUCAGGAGGAACACCUGUGGUGUAGACGGCUUUCUGGACCAUAGCUGACGCUGAGACACGAAAGCGUGGGGAGCAAACAGG
Molecule: ribosomal RNA, 253 nt
Filed under: uncultured bacterium
Lineage: Bacteria
Description: partial 16S ribosomal RNA
Rfam family: Bacterial small subunit ribosomal RNA
Source: RNAcentral